RNAcentral lists this ribosomal RNA (751 nucleotides) under uncultured Actinomycetes bacterium. RNAcentral's name for it is "bacterial SSU rRNA". It matches the Rfam family "Bacterial small subunit ribosomal RNA", at positions 28 to 776 of the family's 1533-position model. RNAcentral also lists the same sequence under 1 other name. Lineage: Bacteria; Bacillati; Actinomycetota; Actinomycetes. The record is from RNAcentral.
GACGAACGCUGGCGGCGUGCUUAACACAUGCAAGUCGAACGCUGAAGCCUAGCUUGCUGGGUGGAUGAGUGGCGAACGGGUGAGUAACACGUGAGUAACCUGCCCCCUUCUUUGGGAUAACGCCCGGAAACGGGUGCUAAUACUGGAUAUUCACUGAUCUUCGCAUGGGGGUUGGUGGAAAGGUUUUUUCUGGUGGGGGAUGGGCUCGCGGCCUAUCAGCUUGUUGGUGGGGUGAUGGCCUACCAAGGCUUUGACGGGUAGCCGGCCUGAGAGGGUGACCGGUCACAUUGGGACUGAGAUACGGCCCAGACUCCUACGGGAGGCAGCAGUGGGGAAUAUUGCACAAUGGGCGAAAGCCUGAUGCAGCGACGCCGCGUGAGGGAUGGAGGCCUUCGGGUUGUAAACCUCUUUCGCUCAUGGUCAAGCCGCGACUUUGGGUUGUGGUGAGGGUAGUGGGUAAAGAAGCGCCGGCUAACUACGUGCCAGCAGCCGCGGUAAUACGUAGGGCGCGAGCGUUGUCCGGAAUUAUUGGGCGUAAAGGGCUUGUAGGCGGUUGGUCGCGUCUGCCGUGAAAUCCUCUGGCUUAACUGGGGGCGUGCGGUGGGUACGGGCUGACUUGAGUGCGGUAGGGGAGACUGGAACUCCUGGUGUAGCGGUGGAAUGCGCAGAUAUCAGGAAGAACACCGGUGGCGAAGGCGGGUCUCUGGGCCGUUACUGACGCUGAGGAGCGAAAGCGUGGGGAGCGAACAGG